GACGAACGCUGGCGGCGUGCUUAACACAUGCAAGUCGAACGGAAAGGCCCUGCUUUUGUGGGGUGCUCGAGUGGCGAACGGGUGAGUAACACGUGAGUAACCUGCCCUUGACUUUGGGAUAACUUCAGGAAACUGGGGCUAAUACCGGAUAGGAGCUCCUGCUGCAUGGUGGGGGUUGGAAAGUUUCGGCGGUUGGGGAUGGACUCGCGGCUUAUCAGCUUGUUGGUGGGGUAGUGGCUUACCAAGGCUUUGACGGAUAGCCGGCCUGAGAGGGUGACCGGCCACAUUGGGACUGAGAUACGGCCCAGAGUCCUACGGGGGGCAGCAGUGGGGAAUAUUGCACAAUGGGCGGAAGCCUGAUGCAGCAACGCCGCGUGCGGGAUGACGGCCUUCGGGUUGUAAACCGCUUUCGCCUGUGACGAAGCGUGAGUGACGGUAAUGGGUAAAGAAGCACCGGCUAACUACGUG
RNAcentral lists this ribosomal RNA (468 nucleotides) under uncultured bacterium. Its description in RNAcentral is "partial 16S ribosomal RNA". It matches the Rfam family "Bacterial small subunit ribosomal RNA", at positions 28 to 507 of the family's 1533-position model. The record is from RNAcentral.